GACGAACGCUGGCGGCGUGCUUAACACAUGCAAGUCGAACGUAAACGCCCUGCUUUUGUGGGGUGCUCGACUUGCGAACGGGUGAUUAACACGUGAGUAACCUGCCCCUGACUUUGGUUUAACCUCAGGAAACUGGGGCUAAUACCGGAUAGGAGCUCCUGCUGCAUGGUUGGGCUUGGAAAGUUUCGGUCGUUGGGGAUAGACUCGCGUCUUAUCAUCUUGCUGGUUGGGUAGUGGCUUAUCAAGGCUUUGACGGGUAGCCGAACUGAGAGGGUGACCGGAAAAAAUAGGACGGAGAUACGGCACAGACACGUACAGGAGGCAGCAAAGGGGGAGAUAAUACAAUGAGCGGAAGCCUGAUGCAACAAAGCGGCGUGAGGGGUGACAGCAUUCGGGUAGUAAACAGGAUUAGCAUGAGACGAAGCGUGAGUGACAGUAAUGGGUAAAGAAGAAACGGCUAACUACGUG
This 468-nucleotide ribosomal RNA is filed under the name uncultured bacterium. Its description in RNAcentral is "partial 16S ribosomal RNA". It matches the Rfam family "Bacterial small subunit ribosomal RNA", at positions 28 to 507 of the family's 1533-position model. The record is from RNAcentral.